GCCAAACAGCUAGCUUAACCACCAAAAUUAACACAAAAACAUAAAUAACCGACAAUUGACCUACAACAAAUAAAUUAAACCAUUUUACACAUCUUAGUAUGGGAGACAGAAAAGAUAAAUAUAAAGCAAUAGAGAGAGUACCGUGAGGGAAAGCUGAAAGAGAAAUGAAACAAUCCAUAUAAGCACUAAAAAGCAGAGAUUAAAUCUUGUACCUUUUGCAUCAUGAUUUAGCCAACACUACUAAGCAAAGAGACCUUUAGUUUAAGCCCCCGAAACCAGGUGAGCUACCCCGAGACAGCCUAUAUAAAAUAGGGCCAACCCGUCUCUGUGGCAAGAGAGUGGGAAGAGCUCCGGGUAGAAGUGACAGACCUAUCGAACCUGGUAAUAGCUGGUUGUCUGGGAGAUGAAUAAGAGUUCAGCUUCGUGUACCCCAAAUUAUAUUAAACUAAAAUAGAUUUACUCUAGCCACAAAACCAAGAGAUACACACGAAAGUUAGUUAAAGAAGGUACAGCUUCUUUAACAAAGGAUACAACCUUCACAGGAGAAUAAAGAUCAUAGUACACAAAACACAUUGUUUUAGUGGGCCUAAAAGCAGCCACCUAAAUAGAAAGCGUUAAAGCUCAAACGAAAAGAAAGUUCAUAAUACUGAUAAAAUAAAUCUUAUUUCCCUAAUAGUACCAGACUAAUCCAUACAAAUAUGGAAGAAAUUAUGCUAGAAUGAGUAACAAGAAGAACUCGCCCUUCUCCCAGCACAAGUGUAAGCCAGAUUGGACCAACCACUGGCAAUUAACGAGCCCAACCAAAGAGGGCAAUGUGAAUUAAUAACUAAGAAAAACACACAAUCAAUUAUCGUUACCCCCACACUGGAGUGCAUAUAAGGAAAGACUAAAAGAAUGGGAAGGAACUCGGCAAACACAAGCCCCGCCUGUUUACCAAAAACAUCGCCUCUUGACUCAACUAAAUAUAAGAGGUCCAGCCUGCCCGGUGACAAUAGUUUAACGGCCGCGGUAUUUUGACCGUGCAAAGGUAGCGCAAUCACUCGUCUUUUAAAUAGGGACCUGUAUGAAUGGCCAAACGAGGGUUUAACUGUCUCCCCUUUCAAGUCAGUGAAAUUGAUCUAUCCGUGCAGAAGCGGAUAUAAUAAUACAAGACGAGAAGACCCUUUGGAGCUUAAGGUACAAGACUUAAACACACCAAACAAACCAAUAAACGUAACGAAUACAGUGAAGUAUAAGACUCUACCUUCGGUUGGGGCGACCAAGGAGUAAAAAAUAACCUCCAAGUGGAACGGGUAAACCCUAAAACUAAGAGACACAUCUCUAAGCCUCAGAACAUCUGACCAAGUAUGAUCCGGUCAAUAAAACCGAUCAACGGACCAAGUUACCCUAGGGAUAACAGCGCAAUCCUCUCUAAGAGUCCAUAUCGACGAGGGGGUUUACGACCUCGAUGUUGGAUCAGGACAUCCUAAUGGUGCAGCCGCUAUUAAGGGUUCGUUUGUUCAACGAUUAAUAGUCCUACGUGAUCUGAGUUCAGACCGGAGCAAUCCAGGUCAGUUUCUAUCUGUAAAGCUACUUUCUCCUAGUACGAAAGGAUCGGAAAAAGGGGGCCCCCACUUAAAGCACGCCCCACCCCAAAUUUAUGAAUAAAAAUAAAUAAAAUAAAGGGAGAGCUAAAAUCUAACCCUAAAUAAGGGCU
Molecule: ribosomal RNA, 1696 nt
Filed under: Danio dangila (olive danio)
Lineage: Eukaryota; Metazoa; Chordata; Actinopteri; Cypriniformes; Danionidae
Description: 16S rRNA
Rfam family: Bacterial large subunit ribosomal RNA (bases 102-1582)
Source: RNAcentral